AGCCCAGAGCCUGAAUCAGUGUGUGUGUUAGUGGAAGCGUCUGGAAAGGCGCGCGAUACAGGGUGACAGCCCCGUACACAAAAAUGCACAUGCUGUGAGCUCGAUGAGUAGGGCGGGACACGUGGUAUCCUGUCUGAAUAUGGGGGGACCAUCCUCCAAGGCUAAAUACUCCUGACUGACCGAUAGUGAACCAGUACCGUGAGGGAAAGGCGAAAAGAACCCCGGCGAGGGGAGUGAAAAAGAACCUGAAACCGUGUACGUACAAGCAGUGGGAGCACGCUUAGGCGUGUGACUGCGUACCUUUUGUAUAAUGGGUCAGCGACUUAUAUUCUGUAGCAAGGUUAACCGAAUAGGGGAGCCGAAGGGAAACCGAGUCUUAACUGGGCGUUAAGUUGCAGGGUAUAGACCCGAAACCCGGUGAUCUAGCCAUGGGCAGGUUGAAGGUUGGGUAACACUAACUGGAGGACCGAACCGACUAAUGUUGAAAAAUUAGCGGAUGACUUGUGGCUGGGGGUGAAAGGCCAAUCAAACCGGGAGAUAGCUGGUUCUCCCCGAAAGCUAUUUAGGUAGCGCCUCGUGAACUCAUCUCCGGGGGUAGAGCACUGUUUCGGCAAGGGGGUCAUCCCGACUUACCAACCCGAUGCAAACUGCGAAUACCGGAGAAUGUUAUCACGGGAGACACACGGCGGGUGCUAACGUCCGUCGUGAAGAGGGAAACAACCCAGACCGCCAGCUAAGGUCCCAAAGUCAUGGUUAAGUGGGAAACGAUGUGGGAAGGCCCAGACAGCCAGGAUGUUGGCUUAGAAGCAGCCAUCAUUUAAAGAAAGCGUAAUAGCUCACUGGUCGAGUCGGCCUGCGCGGAAGAUGUAACGGGGCUAAACCAUGCACCGAAGCUGCGGCAGCGACACUGUGUGUUGUUGGGUAGGGGAGCGUUCUGUAAGCCUGUGAAGGUGUACUGUGAGGUAUGCUGGAGGUAUCAGAAGUGCGAAUGCUGACAUAAGUAACGAUAAAGCGGGUGAAAAGCCCGCUCGCCGGAAGAC
RNAcentral lists this ribosomal RNA (1040 nucleotides) under Escherichia coli. Its description in RNAcentral is "partial 23S ribosomal RNA". It matches the Rfam family "Bacterial large subunit ribosomal RNA", at positions 296 to 1345 of the family's 2925-position model. Lineage: Bacteria; Pseudomonadati; Pseudomonadota; Gammaproteobacteria; Enterobacterales; Enterobacteriaceae. The record is from RNAcentral.